RNAcentral lists this ribosomal RNA (305 nucleotides) under uncultured bacterium. Its description in RNAcentral is "bacterial SSU rRNA". It matches the Rfam family "Bacterial small subunit ribosomal RNA", at positions 334 to 655 of the family's 1533-position model. The record is from RNAcentral.
ACCUCCUACGGGGGGCAGCAGUCGGGAAUAUUGCGCAAUGGAGGAAACUCUGACGCAGUGACGCCGCGUAUAGGAAGAAGGUUUUCGGAUUGUAAACUAUUGUCGUUAGGGAAGAUAAAAGACUGUACCUAAGGAGGAAGCCCCGGCUAACUACGUGCCAGCAGCCGCGGUAAUACGUAGGGGGCAAGCGUUAUCCGGAUUUACUGGGUGUAAAGGGAGCGUAGACGGCAGCGCAAGUCUGGAGUGAAAUGCCGGGGCUCAACCCCGGAACUGCUUUGGAAACUGUGCAGCUAGAGUGCGGGAGG